CAACAAAAAAACAAAAAAUAUGCUCCUUUCCUCUUGGUGGCCUGGUGUGUAAUGGCCGCAAACAGCAGCCACCUGAUAGGAUAUGCAGCCUGUUGCUUGUAUAGGUUGUCCUAAGGGACCUUGGAAACAGCC
Small nucleolar RNA from Lemur catta (Ring-tailed lemur), 132 nucleotides. RefSeq annotates it as small nucleolar RNA SNORA70. NCBI's taxonomy places the organism in Eukaryota, Metazoa, Chordata, Mammalia, Primates, Lemuridae. The transcript has a single exon. The record is from RefSeq and is a predicted model, not a curated record.